This 433-nucleotide ribosomal RNA is filed under the name uncultured microorganism. Its description in RNAcentral is "bacterial SSU rRNA". It matches the Rfam family "Bacterial small subunit ribosomal RNA", at positions 9 to 419 of the family's 1533-position model. The record is from RNAcentral.
GAGUUUGAUCGUGGCUCAGGACGAACGCUGGCGGUAUGCCUAAUACAUGCAAGUCGAGCGCAGGAAGCAGACUGAAGCCUUCGGGUGGAUGUCUGUGGAAUGGGCGGCGGAUGGGUGAGUAUCACGUGGGUAACCUGCCUGUAAGCUUGGGAUAACUCCGGGAAACCGGUGCUAAUACCAGAUAAGAUUUCCGUUCGCAUGAACGGAAAAUGAAAGGCGGCUUUUGCUGUCACUUACAGAUGGACCCGCGUCGCAUUAGCUAGUUGGUGGGGUAAAGGCUCACCAAAGCAACGAUGCGUAGCCGACCUGAGAGGGUGAUCGGCCACACUGGGACUGGAGACACGGCCCAGACUCCUACGGGAGGCAGCAGUAGGGAAUCUUCCGCAUGGACGAAAGUCUGACGAGCAAUACCGCGUGAGUGAUGAAGGUCUUC